Molecule: unclassified non-coding RNA, 240 nt
Filed under: soil metagenome
Description: partial contains 5.8S ribosomal RNA, internal transcribed spacer 2, and large subunit ribosomal RNA
Source: RNAcentral
AACACUGUUAACCUGCGGUACCUGCGGAAGGAUCAUUACAGUAUUCUUUUGCCAGCGCUUAACUGCGCGGCGAAAAACCUUACACACAGUGUCUUUUUGAUACAGAACUCUUGCUUUGGUUUGGCCUAGAGAUAGGUUGGGCCAGAGGUUUAACAAAACACAAUUUAAUUAUUUUUACAGUUAGUCAAAUUUUGAAUUAAUCUUCAAAACUUUUAACAACGGAUCUCAGAUCGGAAGAGC